Hydra vulgaris (swiftwater hydra) is the source of this 2551-nucleotide non-coding RNA. The record is from RefSeq and is a predicted model, not a curated record. NCBI's taxonomy places the organism in Eukaryota, Metazoa, Cnidaria, Hydrozoa, Anthoathecata, Hydridae.
GUUUAUUACUGAUGUGUUUCAAGGCUAUGUAUGGAUAUUUGAAACUGUCGCGUUCAGGAACAAGAUAAUAGGUCUAAUGUGUCAGGUGCUUAUAAUGAAGCUCAACUUUAGUAAGGCAAAAUUCUUGGAAGCUCUGUAUGUUCACUUUAGCGCUCACAAUCUGAGUUUGGCAGGUGUGCACGCAGUUAAAUCAGCCAUUGAGAUCAAAUUAUUUUUUAAAAAAAGUAGAACCUUGGAAGGUAUUUUUUAAUCUUGCCCGAUGGAAGAUUCUCACUGAGGUGACAGAAAUUUUAUUGCAUAAACUUUUUAUAACAAGAUAGAGCUCUCGUACUUACUUGAUUAAAUCUUUUGUUAAGAAGCCGAGAGAAAUGUUUGCAGUUCCUAAACAUGUCAUUUUUCCUAAAACAUGGAUCUGACCAGUGAGCUGCUCAACCAAAUAAGAGACUUAAAAAAUGAUUAUUUUCCUUUGAAUUUGUAUUGCUAGUUAGGAUUUAGUACAAAACUAAUACUGUUGUUAACGACGUUAAUCGUCUUCUAAAAUCUGAACCAAUUACCUUUGAUGACAAGCUCUUUAUUUGAUUAGACAGCUGGUGGAAAAUUUUAAAGGGAUUAAGGGCUCUUGAUUGGAAAACUUCCAACCAAGAGGCUGUAGCUGUAGCUGGACCAUUAGAAUUUGAAGCUGAUUUCUCUACUAAAAGAAGCUGAUCUCUCUACUAAAAAAUUAAAGCACUUUCACGAUAAUAGCCAAAGAAAAGAAUUCAAAGUGAACGUUUUUGAUGUUGGUGAAGAUAGUCUGAUUGAGCAGAUUGAUUCAAGAAUAAAGGCGAGUAGGAUGGUUUGUAAUACGUUCUAAUUCGCCUGGUUGAUUAAUAAUGAUCUUUCCGUUUAAAAUAAAGCUUCAAAACUUGAUGAGUUUUAUCCUGGAGGUGUGAACAAAGAGAAUCUCAUUGGAGAAGUUUAACUACUCAACCAAAUCUUUGAAAAGAAGCUUGAAAAGUUUUAACGCUUUUUUUUAUACAUUUACAUCACACUCCGGAUUUAAAACACUAUUCCUGAGUCUGUUGCUGAGGGUGAACGAAUAUUUAGUAAACUAAAAAUUGUAAAGAACCCUCUCCGUUCAACCAUGGGCCAGGAUCACAUUACUGAUAUUCGAAUAUUUUAAUUGAAGAAGAUUCGGCUAAAAAGGAGAGUCUGCUCUGUGUAAAACUUGUGGAAAUAAGCUUGCCACAAAGCAAGCAAAUACUAUUGGCUUGCGAAAGCAUAUUCAGACACAACAUAGGAAGUUAUUCAUCAAACAUCAAAAGAAAGAAGACGAGCAGAAAUCACAAGUAGAUGAAGAACAAAACGUAAUCGAGGCAGGCCUUUCUGGAUCUGCAAAGAAUAUUGCGUUUAAAACUCUCACUUUUCCGAAGAAGGAGUUUACGAAAAAGUGGUACCCUAGAACUGAAAGAUGCUUUUCAUUAAGCCAGCUCACUUAAUACCAGGCUUCAUAAAUCAACAGCCUUCAGUGCUUCGUUAAAAGAUGCUUGUUAGAUGUGAAUUACCUCAAAAUACCCUCCACAGUAACCACGAGAUAGAACAGUCAUUAUACUAUGCUGCACACCAUGCUUUAACUGAAGGUUAAAGUCCACUCAUAUACUUACGUGAUACAGAAGGUGAUGAUUAGAAGUAAACAGUACCUACAAAUAAAUAGUUCCUACUUUUUGAAGCUAUUAUUCCAGUGCUAAAAUCUGCUAAAGAAUUAUCAGCUUUUUUAUUUUCUGAAACAGAGAAUUGACAUGUCACUAUGGAAAGUAACAGCACUCAUUAACUUCAUCGAAAAAAAAAUAAAAUAACCAUUUUACUGAGGAAAACGACGAAUUAGUAGAGAAAUCUUUGGAAGACUUAUUAUCAGAACUAAAUAAGAGAUUACCAGACAAAGACCGUAAAUUACCCGCAUUUGCACUGAGACAUUACCUCCAUCCAUUUUUCCGUUAUAUGAAAAAUAAAUGGAAAAAAAACAAAAAAUAAUAAGGAUACUACAUCACAUCAUGAAAACCUAUUAAACUAGAAACGGAAAAAUACCAAAAAACAAUAAAAUCCAAAAAUGCAAGUAAAGUUGACACAUUGGCAUGGUGGAAGCAGCAUACACCUGAACUUCCUAUCCUUUCAGGUGUUGCAAGAUCCUGUUUGGCAACUCCACCAACCCCUGCAUCAUCUGAAAGAGCAUUUUCUGCUAUUAUAUCUACCAUCACAACUGAUGGUAGAUACAAUCUCGAUAGUGACAAGGCAGAUUAUAAAUAUAAGCUUGUAUUUAUAAUGCAGAACUAUUCCGCUCUUGAGAGUUACACCAAAAAAUGGCCUAUCGAACAAGAAAACGAAAGUGAAAAUAAUAUAGGACAUGAAUUAGACUUAUCUUUGCCAAGAUUAAUAGAAUUUUUUUGCCAAUAUUAAUAGAAAUUCUAAAAUACCAACGAAAGUACAGCAAUGGGAAAAACAACAAAUGGAUAAAGUAUUGUAGAUGUAAAAAAUGCAAUUAUACUUGUAUUUUGUUAAUAAAAAAUUGAAGUUA